Molecule: small nucleolar RNA, 85 nt
Organism: Chroicocephalus ridibundus (black-headed gull)
Lineage: Eukaryota; Metazoa; Chordata; Aves; Charadriiformes; Laridae
Product: small nucleolar RNA SNORD121A
Exons: 1
Source: RefSeq, a predicted model, not a curated record
GUCUGAAGUACAGUGAUGUUUUUCUUUUCCAAGGACAUAUCUGGUUGCUCUGUGUGGAAAAUGACUGUUGCUGAAUGUUUUGGGU